AGUGAACGCUGGCGGUAGGCCUAACACAUGCAAGUCGAACGGCAGCACAGUAAGAGCUUGCUCUUACGGGUGGCGAGUGGCGGGCGGGUGAGGAAUACAUCGGAACCUACUUUUUCGUGGGGGAUAACGUAGGGAAGCUUACGCUAAUACCGCAUACGACCUACGGGUGAAAGCAGGGGAUCUUCGGACCUUGCGCGAUUGAAUGAGCCGAUGUCGGAUUAGCUAGUUGGCGGGGUAAAGGCCCACCAAGGCGACGAUCCGUAGCUGGUCUGAGAGGAUGAUCAGCCACACUGGAACUGAGACACGGUCCAGACUCCUACGGGAGGCAGCAGUGGGGAAUAUUGGACAAUGGGCGCAAGCCUGAUCCAGCCAUACCGCGUGGGUGAAGAAGGCCUUCGGGUUGUAAAGCCCUUUUGUUGGGAAAGAAAAGCAGCAGGUUAAUACCCCGCUGUUCUGACGGUACCCAAAGAAUAAGCACCGGCUAACUUCGUG
RNAcentral lists this ribosomal RNA (492 nucleotides) under uncultured bacterium. RNAcentral describes it as "partial 16S ribosomal RNA". It matches the Rfam family "Bacterial small subunit ribosomal RNA", at positions 29 to 507 of the family's 1533-position model. The record is from RNAcentral.